CAGCCGCCGCGGGAAUACGUAGGUCCCGAGCGUUGUCCGGAUUUAUUGGGCGUAAAGCGAGCGCAGGCGGUUUGAUAAGUCUGAAGUUAAAGGCUGUGGCUCAACCAUAGUUCGCUUUGGAAACUGUCAAACUUGAGUGCAGAAGGGGAGAGUGGAAUUCCAUGUGUAGCGGUGAAAUGCGUAGAUAUAUGGAGGAACACCGGUGGCGAAAGCGGCUCUCUGGUCUGUAACUGACGCUGAGGCUCGAAAGCGUGGGGAGCAAACAGGAUUAGAUACCCGCGUAGUCCCUGUCUCUUAUACC
RNAcentral lists this ribosomal RNA (301 nucleotides) under uncultured bacterium. RNAcentral's name for it is "partial 16S ribosomal RNA". It matches the Rfam family "Bacterial small subunit ribosomal RNA", at positions 509 to 808 of the family's 1533-position model. The record is from RNAcentral.